RNAcentral lists this ribosomal RNA (253 nucleotides) under uncultured bacterium. Its description in RNAcentral is "partial 16S ribosomal RNA". It matches the Rfam family "Bacterial small subunit ribosomal RNA", at positions 524 to 776 of the family's 1533-position model. The record is from RNAcentral.
UACGUAGGUGGCAAGCGUUGUCCGGAAUUACUGGGCGUAAAGGGCGUGUAGGAGGCCUUUUCAGUCAGACGUGAAAUAUGAGGGCUUAACCAUUGGACUGCGUUUGAGACUGGAAGGCUUGAGGAUCGGAGAGGGCAGUGGAAUUCCCAGUGUAGCGGUGAAAUGCGUAGAUAUUGGGAGGAACACCAGUGGCGAAGGCGGCUGCCUGGACGACACCUGACGCUGAGGCGCGAAAGCUAGGGGAGCGAACGGG